This 495-nucleotide ribosomal RNA is filed under the name Cardiodactylus empagatao. Its description in RNAcentral is "partial large subunit ribosomal RNA". The record is from RNAcentral. Lineage: Eukaryota; Metazoa; Arthropoda; Insecta; Orthoptera; Gryllidae.
CUUCUUGAAUUAAAAUUGGAAGUCGGGUCUGUCCACUGAAUAAGAAUUUGAAGGGCCGCGGUAUAUUGACCGUGCAAAGGUAGCAUAAUCAUUAGUUUUUUAAUUGAAAGCUGGAAUGAAUGGUUUGACGAAAUGAUUAGUGUCUCUAAUUAAUUAAUUGAAUUUUACUUUUAAGUUAAAAGGCUUAAAUAUUAAUAAGGGACGAUAAGACCCUAUAGAUCUUUAUAAUAAUUUUAAUACUAUUGAUUUAGUUGUUUUGUAUUAUAUUUUAUUAAUUUUAUUAUUUUGUUGGGGUGAUGUGAGAAUAUAUAAGCUUCUUAAUUUUUAACUUUGAUUAUUGAAUAUAAGAUCCUAUAUUUAUGGAAUAAAGAUUAAGAUACCUUAGGGAUAACAGCGUAAUUUUAUUGGAGAGUUCUUAUUGAUAAUGAGGAUUGCGACCUCGAUGUUGGAUUAAGAAUAUAUAUUGGUGUAGGUGCUAAUAGUAUUGGUCUGUUC